This is a long non-coding RNA of Cyprinus carpio carpio, 300 nucleotides long. The record is from Ensembl. Lineage: Eukaryota; Metazoa; Chordata; Actinopteri; Cypriniformes; Cyprinidae.
GGAAUCUCUAAGAACUAUUCCAUUGUUCACAGCCAUGUGAGACGGAGUCAGAGGUCAGAGGUCAGCCACAGUGGCAUGAGGAUGAGGGCUACGGACACAAGGGCGAAGGGACGAAGCUAAAGCCGUGUUUUUUUGACAAGGACGACUCCAAAGCUUUCCUACAAAUGUGCUCCACCAGAUGUCAGAACACCAGCGCAGUCAAGAACACGUCUGAUUGGAGCGACUGCGGCUCUAUUAGCUCCUGACUGAUGAUCCGGUGGGGCUGUUGCUGCUUUUAUUGGCUCCUACAUCACAGCUAGC